This 207-nucleotide ribosomal RNA is filed under the name uncultured bacterium. RNAcentral describes it as "partial 16S ribosomal RNA". It matches the Rfam family "Bacterial small subunit ribosomal RNA", at positions 568 to 774 of the family's 1533-position model. The record is from RNAcentral.
CGCGUAGGCGGCUUGGCAAGUCAAAGGUGAAAUCCCUCGGCUCAACCGAGGAACUGCCUUUGAAACUGCCUCGCUAGAGGCCGGGAGGGGGUGGCGGAAUUCCCAGUGUAGCGGUGAAAUGCGUAGAUAUUGGGAGGAACACCAGUGGCGAAGGCGGCCACCUGGACCGGUUCUGACGCUGAGGUGCGAAAGCGUGGGGAGCAAACA